Molecule: non-coding RNA, 5163 nt
Organism: Camellia sinensis
Lineage: Eukaryota; Viridiplantae; Streptophyta; Magnoliopsida; Ericales; Theaceae
Source: RefSeq, a predicted model, not a curated record
AUGAAAGAUCUUGGUGAAGUCAAUUUUAUUUUGGGAAUUAAAAUUACCAAGACUAAAGAUGGCAUUUUUCUUGAUCAGUCACAUUAUGUUGAGAAAAUUUUAAAGAAAUAUAACUUUCUAGACUCUAAACAUGUUGUUACUCCUUUUGAUGCAAGCAUACAUUUAUUUGUUGUAUUGUAACAAAUGAAAAGAAGUGAUUAAUCAAAAGGAAUAUGCUAGCAUGAUUGGUAGUUUGAGAUAUGCUACUGACUGUACUAGACUUGACAUUAUAUAUAUUGUUGGAGUACUUAGCAAAUUUAUUAGCAAGCCAAGUUGAGAUCAUUGGCUAGCCAUGAGAAAAAUUAUGAGAUAUUUAUCUAGUACCAAAAAUUAUGAUUUGUUUUAUAACAAGUAUCCUGCGGUACUUGAGGGAUAUAGUGAUGUCGAUUGGAACACUUUGUCAGGUGAUUCUCUCUCUACCUCGGGUUUUAUUUUUACCUUGGGUGGUGGUGCUAUAUGUUGGAAAUCUAAAAAAUAGACUAUAAUAGAAGCUGAGCUUAUAGUGUUAGUUUCAACAUGUAAGGAAGCGAAUUAGUUGAGAGAUUUGUUACAUAAAAUCCCUUUUUUGGGAAAAAUCAAUUCUUCCUGUGUUAAUUCAUUGUGAUAGCAUUGAUGUUAUUAGUAGAGUGAACAACCAUUUUGAUAAUGGUAAAUCCAGACUUAUUAGAAGGAAACACAGUAAUGUGAGAUCCUAUUUGAGUAAUGGUAACUGUGAAUUUUGUAAAAUCUUGUGAUAAUCUUGCGAAUCCGUUAACCAAGGCCUUGGCGAGAAAUAGGAUCUGGAAUACAUUGAGGUGGAUGGGUUUGAAACCUAUAAAAUCAUAAACCAUGUAUGAAGACACCGAACCUAAAGACCAGAGAUCCUGUAACUAGGUUCAAUGGGAAGAACGAAUCAUAUGGUGGUUGUAAAAAAUGCACUCCUUAAUAUUUUGUUGUCCAUUCUUAUGAUGUAAAUACAUUUGUCCUGUAAUGUUGGAGGGUUGAGUUUUUAUACUCUUAAUGAAAUUCUGUAGCUGUUGUUGAGUGGGGUGCGUAAAUUAUAGAAACAUCCUUGACAGAUUUCACUUAUGUAAACAUGGAAGUGGGACCGUUUUCUAUGAGAACAAGGCUUAUUAUCAAAUAUACUCAUGAAAACUGGGAUAAAUACAAGGUCGCAAUGUGCUGGCUAUUAAAAGCUCAUGUCAACACCUAGAUUAUUAUGUGUGAGCAGUAAUAUUUUAUUACCCUUAAGUAGUCAUAGUUCAAGUCUGAGACCACUAUUGACUUUGGAGUAGAGAUUGCUGUUUCAGCAAUGAAGGUUCAAUGCAGAGCACACCUUCAUAAUAUAUACUACUCUAUCUUUGUUUGGUAAUCUCUCUUGUCCUUGUUGAUACUAAAAUGAGUGGAGAAUUAUUUAACCAUUUUAAUAUCUUUUAUUUAUUUAUUUAUUUAUUUUUAUUUCUUUAAUAUGACCUUUUGUCUUGUUCAUGAAUCUUAUUUUGUCUUGCUCAUGAAUCUCAUUUUGUUUGGUAAAUGGAGAUUCGUUUGUUUUUGGUGACCUUUUGUUUUUCAUGAAUGGAGAUUAAAUGGAAGGUCAUGGAGUUGGUAGUGAGUUAAUGGUUAUUAUUUUUUUGGUGUAAUUUGUAAGGUCGUAGUGGCCUAUAAAUUGUUUUUCUCAUCUACUCUUUUCUACACUAAUUAUUUUUCUAUACUUGAAAGAUUACUAGCCAAAGAAGGGUAUUUUUUCUUGGUGGAGCUUUGGGUUCACCAUCUUGUGCAGAAUUGGUUUGAACCAUACGUCAAGUGGUCAGAUUGUUGUAUCGUGGAGGGGACAAGUCAUUUUUUCGUGACUGCUGCAUUAGUAUUUAAGUUCUUCCUACCGCAGUGGGCUUGAUCUCCUUAAAAAAAAUGAGAUAUCCAUGCCUCAGCCUGAUUUAUUUGUAUCUCAUUUUCUUUGCAUUAUUUAUCAAUAAAAUAUAAUUUUUCUGGUAUUUUCACCAACAAACAGUUUCUUUAAUUCUCUUCACAAUAAUAUGGAAAUCAAUUUUAAUUAUUAUGGAAAAAAUGAUUGUUAAAUUUUUUUAAUAAUAAAAUUUUUAUGUACAUUCUUUUUCGCCGAAAAUUUUAAAAUCAAACCAUCUAAUGUAUCUGUUUCUAACAAAUCACAAUAGAUAUCCAAUAUUUGAAUUUAACAAGAUAAUAAUUAAGGUAAACUAAUUAAUCACUAGAUUUUAAAUCAUGAAAGAAACAUGAUUAAAUUCAUAUCCAAAAUUUACUGAAUUAAUUACAAAGAGACAAAAAUGAUUAAUCAGUUAAAUCACAAUUUAAGAAAACACAUUCAAAUCAUAUAUUUAAUUAUUAUGAAGCAUGAGAUUUCAUCUUUAACCUUGAUUAUUAAUUUAGUUACAAAUCAUUGAGAAAACAAUCAAGACAAUAAAAAUAUUAACCAUUAAAAUAAAACCCACAAGAAACUUGAAUAUUAAAACCCUAGUCGUCUUCUACUCUCCUCAAAAAGUUCCCGCACGAUAGAUGUUACAUGCUUUUAUAUAGAAGAAGAAACCUAAACCUAACAAAAAAAUAAACUAUUAUUAAAUAAUAAAAAUACAAUUUAUAAAUAAAUAAAAAGUUUUGGUUUCCAUACGAGUGGUGAAGUUUGGUUGUUGAAGAUGUCCACUUAAUCCAUCUAAAAAAAUAAAAAUAAAAAUAAAAAUAAUAAUGUCCAUUUGAUUCGUGAAAUAAUAUGGUUUCGCGGCAAUGGUACAAUUGCCUUGUGCUAAGUUGGCCAAAAAUAUAAACAACUUGCUUUUAGCAAGUUGAGACGAUCUAACCACCAAAUUACUAAUUAGGCUAAUCAACAUACAUGAUUUAUUGAUCCCAUUUAAUUAUUUAACUUCUUUCCAUGUAGAUUUCAAUUUUAUUUCCUUUUUCACCAUUUUCCCACCAAUGUUCUAGAAUACCUAAAAAUAUAAAAACAAACAUAAUAAGAUAAAAAAAUAUAUAAAAUAGGUCUAACAAAGUAUAAAAUAUGCAUUAUAAUGGACACAUCAUCUUGCACCGCUCAAUAGGUCAUUAUUUUAUCAAUUUCUUUCACUAAAAACAAAUAAGAAUUUAUUUAAAAACAAUUUGUGAAAGAUGAAACCAAAAGAAUCUCAAGUGUAGUUGAUGGUUUUGCUUAUCAAAAUGCGAUAGGGAUGUGUAGGCUUAUUUUCUCAGGGAAAUUAAUUUAUACUAGCAACAAAUUAAAAUAAUUAUAAUUUUUUCUAAAGGUACAAACAAAUUGGUAUUUACAAUUAAAAGUUAUGACAUGGACACAAUUCUCAUUUACAUUUACUGUGGGGAGGUGGAUAUGGAAUACUCAUUCUAUCCAAACGAGUCCUUGGGAAAUCACUCUAGUUGCGACUUGAAAUAAGAAUAAAAUUUCGGACGGUAGUACCAGAAUUAGCACUUCGACGGUCUAGUUAGUUUCAGUAGAAAGGUUAGUUUUUUUUCUCAUUUCUGCUGCUUUAAGUUUCUUAGCAUGUAUCUUUUUCUCCAACUUGUCUCCUUCUUUUAUAAAGUCACCCUCCUCGAUUUUCACUCCAUGUAGCUUAGCUUUUCAUCGUCAUCUUGUCAGGAUCCAUACCUCUACUAUACUUCCUUGAAAGGAACACUCUGGUCCUACUUGGUGUGUUCAUGUUGACUCUCGAGACAUAUUCUGCUCUUCUAUUUGAUACAGGGAGUUUAAAAUGAAUGAUUGGAUGGUUGAUGAAUUGAUGAAGCAGUUGGUCUUCCAGUGCUUUUUGAGUUCUGUUGUUUUUGCUUUUGUUUUGUGCAGGGCAUUAUAUACCUUUAAUCAUCUAUGAAAUCUGGUUAAAAAGACCAUCUUGUUUGGUGUAGUUUAUAAAAAUUAUUUAUAAUUUUUUUUUGAGAAUUUAUUUAAUAUUUAGUGUAAUUUUUAUUUAUAACUUAUGAAGCAUAAAUAAAAAAUUUUAAGUUGAAAAAAUAAAUUAUUAAAAAAUUAAGGAAGAAAUGCUUUUAUUUUUUUUCCUUCUGAUUAUCAACUUUCAAUUUACAAAUUAAUUAUAACUUCGGCCAGCCACUCAAAUCAUGGAAAACAUUCAAAAAAAUAUAUUUCAUUCCAAAUGUCGAUCUUUUUAUUUUAUUUCUCAACUAUUAAGAAAAGUUAACCCAAUAUAUUUCAUUUCUCAACUAUUAAGAAAAAUUUUAUGUCCCUCUCUCUUGUACAUGAAGAAUUCCUUCCCAUCACUAGCCGUUAAGGGUGAUUAAAAUAUGGCCGCAGGACAGGUAACCAAAAUUCUGGCUACUAAAAUUGUUGGUUUUUUGAGGGAGGACAGUUACAGUUGCGACCUUCCGCUAAGUCACACGUUGGCAUCAAUGUAUUAUAAGUUAUCACUUUCAUCCUUAUUCUUUUCAAAUUUGUUUUCGGUUCACAUGGCAAAAUAUAUGACUGCAAUCGAUAAGGAUGUUUUAGAUGCUGUGGAGUGGACCUACUCAAAUCUCUUUCCGUGCUGUAAUUUUUGUACUACCGGAACUUGAGAGGAGAUUAAUAACUCGGGGGGGCUCUGUCCAGUGAAAGGUUGUGUAUAGUCUGCUGCUUCUUGUUUAAUUUGGAUGCUAUGGUUGAAACAUUCAGGUUCUCAUUGCCAUAGCAAAAGUGGGAAUUGAAAUAUUCAAGGUCAACUGUCCAAAAAAACCUUUUUCAAGUUUUCAUUGGCACGCUGCUUUAUAACUAUAAACAGGUUAGUUCAGUGUGAACGCGAAAUUGAAUUGUAUAAUGCAGUUUAAUUUCCAAAUAAAUAAAUAAACAAAUAAAUGAAAUCGCUUUUUGACCUAAAAAACUAUUGUUUGUCUUGGUUGCAAGGAUAAAAAUGUAAACUCCACCAUUCAAAAUCAACAAUUUAUGUAAGCAAUGCACCACUCCUAGUUAUCUAAAAAUGAGCAUUCAAGAAUCCACUAGAACAGCAUUUUUGACAAACUUUGAUAUAGGCAACCAGACAUCAUUUCCAAUCAAUCCUUGUAUUCAAGUUAAAUCAUGUCCAAAACACUAGUAAUACAUUGUACAUUGUUCCUAAGCUAAAAAGAGAAAUACAAAAGCAGAUUACAAUUCACUUCAAUGAAGAAAAAAGGAAAAGGACAAAAAAAAAA